GACGAACGCUGGCGGCGUGCUUAACACAUGCAAGUCGAACGGAAAGGCCCUGCUUUUGUGGGGUGCUCGAGUGGCGAACGGGUGAGUAACACGUGAGUAACCUGCCCUUGACUUUGGGAUAACUUCAGGAAACUGGGGCUAAUACCGGAUAGGAGCUCCUGCUGCAUGGUGGGGGUUGGAAAGUUUCGGCGGUUGGGGAUGGACUCGCGGCUUAUCAGCUUGUUGGUGGGGUAGUGGCUUACCAAGGCUUUGACGGGUAGCCGGCCUGAGAGGGUGACCGGCGUCAUUGGUACUGCGAGACGGCCCAGACGCCUACGGGAGGCAGCAGUGGAGAAUAUUGCACAAUGGGCGGAAGCCUGAUGCAGCAACGCCGCGUGCGGGAUGACGGCCUUCGGGUUGUAAACCGCUUUCUCCUGUGACGAAGCGUGAUUGACGGUAAUGGGUAAAGAAGCACCGGCUAACUACGUG
This 468-nucleotide ribosomal RNA is filed under the name uncultured bacterium. Its description in RNAcentral is "partial 16S ribosomal RNA". It matches the Rfam family "Bacterial small subunit ribosomal RNA", at positions 28 to 507 of the family's 1533-position model. The record is from RNAcentral.